CAUGCGGCGGGAGGGAGUGCGGCCAAGCUCCUCCCCGCCGCCGCCGCCCCUCGCCGCGCCGCGGGGACGUGCAGUCGCUCGGCGGGACAUGGAGGCGGGCGGCGCGGCCGGGGCCCGGCGCCCCGCGCUGCUGCUGCUCCUGCUGGCGGCGGCGCUGGGAGGCGAAGCGGAGGCGGAGGAGCCGCGCCCGGCGCGGCAGCGCGGGGACGAGCAGUGCCAUUACUACGCGGGCGGGCAGGUGUACCCCGGGGAGGCGGCCCGGCUGCCCGUCUCCGACCACUCGCUGCACCUCAGCCAGGCCAAGAUCUCCAAGCCAGCGCCUUACUGGGAGGGAACAGCAGUCAUUAAUGGAGAGUUUAAAGAGCUGAAGCUAACAGAUUAUGAAGGAAAAUAUCUUGUCUUCUUCUUUUAUCCUCUUGACUUUACAUUUGUCUGUCCAACUGAGAUAAUUGCCUUCAGUGACCGAAUUGAAGAAUUCAGAGCAAUAAAUACUGAAGUAGUAGCAUGUUCUGUGGACUCAAAAUUCACUCACUUAGCAUGGAUUAAUACUCCUCGUAAACAAGGAGGACUUGGACCAAUGAAGAUUCCCCUUCUUUCUGAUCUGACACACCAGAUUUCAAAGGAUUAUGGAGUGUAUCUGGAAGAUCAAGGACAUACACUUAGAGGCCUUUUCAUUAUUGACAAUAAGAGAAUCCUUCGACAGAUCACAAUGAAUGACCUUCCUGUUGGGAGAUCCGUGGAUGAAACACUUCGUUUAGUACAAGCAUUCCAGUACACAGACAAACAUGGAGAAGCUUUUAUGUGAAUGUUGAGGAGAGCUUCUGUAGACACCUCCUUGGUUUCCUUGCACAGAAUAACAGUUCUCCACGAUUCCUACUAGCAUGUGGGGUAUUUUUUCUGCCAGCCUGUCUUAAAGCAGUGUAAUGUGACAUAACUGCUUGGGCUGAAGCCUCAGAGGGAGAGCUCUGAAUAGAUGAGCGCUUUACUCCAGAAUAUGCAGCUGCUCAGAUGGUCCCAGCCACACUGUGUUUGCCCUGCUGGUUGGAAACCUGGCAGUGAAACAAUCAAACCAGAGGAAGCCAUGAGAGUGUGGUGGCCAAGGGAAGAACUAUAAUUCCAGAUCCAGCUGGAAAACUGAAGUAUUUUGAUAAACUAAACUGAGGCUCGCUUCUGUUGAAUUCAAUAGGUCACAUUCAACUUGAUUUUUGCCAAUAAAAUUUCAUUAAUUUUGGUA
Molecule: RNA transcript, 1234 nt
Organism: Onychostruthus taczanowskii (white-rumped snowfinch)
Lineage: Eukaryota; Metazoa; Chordata; Aves; Passeriformes; Passeridae
Gene: PRDX4
Gene name: peroxiredoxin 4
Exons: 9
Source: RefSeq, a predicted model, not a curated record